UUAAAUCACCGGUUCUCGUCCGUUCAGCGAAGUUAAAUAACUUCGAUAAUGAUCAGUACCAAAAUGGGUGACCACCUGGGAAUACCAGGUGCUGUAGG
This is a non-coding RNA of Acanthosepion pharaonis, 98 nucleotides long. Lineage: Eukaryota; Metazoa; Mollusca; Cephalopoda; Sepiida; Sepiidae. The record is from the annotation of a GenBank genome assembly.